Non-coding RNA from Marmota flaviventris (yellow-bellied marmot), 296 nucleotides. NCBI's taxonomy places the organism in Eukaryota, Metazoa, Chordata, Mammalia, Rodentia, Sciuridae. The record is from RefSeq and is a predicted model, not a curated record.
CGCAGGACAGUGCUGGGGGCUGUCGGAGCGCACCUGGAGGGGGCAGAACUCUCACCAAGAGCGGAGGGCGCCUCAUCCAACGUGCGCCCUUGGGUCUUUGCCAGAGACAGCUCUGGCCCCUUCUAGUGCCUAAAGUCAAUACUGAGACCCCAGACAUGUCCAGAGACAUCCUGAAGAGACUGAGCAAUUAAGGAGCCUUAAGGUAUCCACAAGGAGAUUCCUGAAGCCAUCUCAGAGUCAGAGAGUUUGCCUGCCGUUUGUUCUUGGCGGACACAACAUCUUUGUUUGUAUGUGGU